AACGCACGAGACCUGCGGACCUGCGGAAGGAUCAUUACCGAGUUCUCUGCAACUCCCAACCCUGUGAACCAUACCCAAGUUUUUUGUUUCUCGUUGCUUCUGGCAGGCGGCCCCCCCCUCUUCUGGAGGGCGGCCUGCCUGCCAGGGGCGGCCUGCCUCGAGCCUUUUUUCAAACCCAUACUUUACCAGACCUUCUGAGCUCAAACAAAUCAAUCAAAACUUUUAACAAUGGAUCUCUAG
Molecule: unclassified non-coding RNA, 240 nt
Filed under: soil metagenome
Description: partial contains 5.8S ribosomal RNA, internal transcribed spacer 2, and large subunit ribosomal RNA
Source: RNAcentral